This 345-nucleotide unclassified non-coding RNA is filed under the name soil metagenome. Its description in RNAcentral is "partial contains 5.8S ribosomal RNA, internal transcribed spacer 2, and large subunit ribosomal RNA". The stretch from base 1 to 120 matches the Rfam family "5.8S ribosomal RNA", at positions 35 to 154 of the family's 154-position model. The record is from RNAcentral.
GAUGAAGAACGUAGCGAAAUGCGAUACGUAAUGUGAAUUGCAGAAUUCCGUGAAUCAUCGAAUCUUUGAACGCACAUUGCGCCCCCUGGUAUUCCGGGGGGCAUGCCUGUCCGAGCGUCAUUGCUGCCCUCAAGCACGGCUUGUGUGUUGGGCCUCCGUCCUCCUCCCGGGGGACGGGCCCGAAAGGCAGCGGCGGCACCGCGUCCGGUCCUCGAGCGUAUGGGGCUUCGUCACCCGCUCUUGUAGGCCCGGCCGGCGCUUGCCGACACAUCAAUCUUUUUUCCAGGUUGACCUCGGAUCAGGUAGGGAUACCCGCUGAACUUAAGCAUAUCAAUAAGCGGAGGA